GAUCCUGGCUCAGGAUGAACGCUAGCGGCAGGCUUAACACAUGCAAGUCGAGGGGCAGCAUAAUGGAUAGCAAUAUCUAUGGUGGCGACCGGCGCACGGGUGCGUAACGCGUAUGCAACCUACCUUUAACAGGGGGAUAACACUGAGAAAUUGGUACUAAUACCCCAUAAUAUCAUAGAAGGCAUCUUUUAUGGUUGAAAAUUCCGAUGGUUAGAGAUGGGCAUGUGUNUAU
This 232-nucleotide ribosomal RNA is filed under the name uncultured bacterium. RNAcentral describes it as "partial 16S ribosomal RNA". It matches the Rfam family "Bacterial small subunit ribosomal RNA", at positions 15 to 240 of the family's 1533-position model. The record is from RNAcentral.